GACGAACGCUGGCGGCGUGCUUAACACAUGCAAGUCGAACGGAAAGGCCCUGCUUUUGUGGGGUGCUCGAGUGGCGAACGGGUGAGUAACACGUGAGUAACCUGCCCUUGACUUUGGGAUAACUUCAGGAAACUGGGGCUAAUACCGGAUAGGAGCUCCUGCUGCAUGGUGGGGGUUGGAAAGUUUCGGCGGUUGGGGAUGGACUCGCGGCUUAUCAGCUUGUUGGUGGGGUAGUGGCUUACCAAGGCUUUGACGGGUAGCCGGCCUGAGAGGGUGACCGGCCACAUUGGGACUGAGAUACGGCCCAGACUCCUACGGGAGGCAGCAGUGGGAAAUCUUGCACAAUGGGCGGAAGCCUGAUGCAGCAACGCCGCGUGCGGGAUGACGGCCUUCGGGUUGUAAACCGCUUUCGCCUGUGACGAAGCGUGAGUGACGGUAAUGGGUAAAGAAGCACCGGCUAACUACGUG
RNAcentral lists this ribosomal RNA (468 nucleotides) under uncultured bacterium. Its description in RNAcentral is "partial 16S ribosomal RNA". It matches the Rfam family "Bacterial small subunit ribosomal RNA", at positions 28 to 507 of the family's 1533-position model. The record is from RNAcentral.